This 254-nucleotide ribosomal RNA is filed under the name uncultured bacterium. Its description in RNAcentral is "partial 16S ribosomal RNA". It matches the Rfam family "Bacterial small subunit ribosomal RNA", at positions 524 to 776 of the family's 1533-position model. The record is from RNAcentral.
UACGUAGGGGCGAGCGUUGUCCGGAAUCAUUGGGCGUAAAGAGCGUGUAGGCGGCUCGGUAAGUCCGCCGUGAAAACCUGAGGCUCAACCUCAGGCUUGCGGUGGAUACUGUCGUGCUAGAGGAUGGUAGAGGCGAGUGGAAUUCCCGGUGUAGCGGUGAAAUGCGUAGAUAUCGAGGAGGAACACCGUGCGGCGAAGGCGGUUGCUGGGCCGACUACUGACGCUGAGGCGCGAAAGCUAGGGGAGCGAACGGA